AUUGAACGCUGGCGGCAGGCCUAACACAUGCAAGUCGAGCGGAUGAAGGGAGCUUGCUCCUGGAUUCAGCGGCGGACGGGUGAGUAAUGCCUAGGAAUCUGCCUGGUAGUGGGGGAUAACGUCCGGAAACGGGCGCUAAUACCGCAUACGUCCUGCGGGAGAAAGUGGGGGAUCUUCGGACCUCACGCUAUCAGAUGAGCCUAGGUCGGAUUGGCUAGUUGGUGGGGUAAAGGCCUACCAAGGCGAGGAUCGGUAACUGGUCGGAGGGGAUGAUCAGUCACACUGGAACUGAGACACGGUCCAGACUCCUACGGGAGGCAGCAGUGUGGAAUAUUGGACAAUGGGCGAAAGCCUGAUCCAGCCAUGCCGCGUGUGUGAAGAAGGUCUUCGGAUUGUAAAGCACUUUAAGUUGGGAGGAAGGGCAGUAAGUUAAUACCUUGCUGUUUUGACGUUACCAACAGAAUAAGCACCGGCUAACUUCGUG
RNAcentral lists this ribosomal RNA (484 nucleotides) under uncultured bacterium. RNAcentral describes it as "partial 16S ribosomal RNA". It matches the Rfam family "Bacterial small subunit ribosomal RNA", at positions 30 to 507 of the family's 1533-position model. The record is from RNAcentral.